Molecule: non-coding RNA, 1747 nt
Organism: Rattus norvegicus (Norway rat)
Lineage: Eukaryota; Metazoa; Chordata; Mammalia; Rodentia; Muridae
Source: RefSeq, a predicted model, not a curated record
UCAUAUGUAUGCAUACAAAUGAUAUAUAUUUACAUAUUAUAUAUUAAAUAUAUAUUAUACUAUCUGCAUUCUAUGUCAGUUUUUUUUAAAAGAAAUUAAGAGUCUCAAAUACAAUGGUGAACAUUGUUUGCUGACACAAUCUUUCCUAAACCAGAAAACAACACAGCGAACAUUAACUUAGGAGCAUCCUUCGACUCCCAUUUCAAACACAUCUUAAUGGUCAAAGACUCAGACCUCUACUCUGCAGCUGUCUCCCAUUGGCUGGUUACUUAAUGCUAAGUCUCUGAGAAAGGGGUCUUCCAGGCCCUAGAGUAGGACAGAAGGAAGUGGGGGGCUGGCGAUGCCUCAAGUUAGAGGGCCCGAUGCACGGGAGAUGGCGGAGCUUUUUGAGGCACAUCUGUGUAAUAAAAAGCCUAUGGUUGGCUUAGGUCACUGCCAGAAAAAGGGGGUCCUGCAGUGCCCCCAAUUUCAGAGUGACAUCAGGGAAAGCGCCUUCAUGAAUGCGUUUUUCUCUGCAGUAGAAUGGAAUUGGGGCCCCUGGAACCACUAGUGCCCGUGAUUGAGUGGCCUUCAAGUGGUCUGUGCCUUCUGAAGCCAAGCCAGAGACAGCCCCAAGUUUUAGAAGGCAUCUCCGCCUCUUUUGGUCCCACACGCCAGCUUUCUUGUGGGCACAGAAAGGGUUAACUCCAUGCCCCUGGACUAUUCCAUUAGUCCAGAGUGGACGGGGUUUAGCAGGUCUCUGAUUGGAGGAGCUGCUCUGAUGGGCGUGGCCAAAUGUUUUGCUAACGGCCAGAGGAGAGCAGUUGGUAGUUAUUUUGCAGGAGGCUUUUCUCAGGGAUGAAGGCAAGCUGGCCUCUAGCUGAUCAGCUGGUUGGUGAGGACUCCUCAGGAAGUCAGGGAUCAUUGUGAAGAUGGAAGAACGCCCACAAGGUCCAGGUUGUGCCUGCAGGCCCUGAGCAUCCUGCUGGCUCAGCUGUGGUAACCAAGGAGCAUCUCAGGCCCACAGUCAGUGGGGUCAUACCCCACACGUUGGGGCAGCUGCUGGGCAGAUCUCCAUUGUUUUUCCUUUGUGUUUCUUCUGUCCUACCCAGAAAGUUAACCUAUUUGUGGAGAGCUGUGACCCAAUGGCCUGGUCCAGUAGGUAAGUCAAGCGCUCAUGGUCAGCUAUCAAGCUCUAACAAAGUGUCAAGGCAGUCCCUGAAUCCAUAGCACCACUUUGUGAAGAACUAAGAAGCCAACCUUGAGGGACCACUCACCCCAAGAAGACUUUGUUCUGAGCUGAUGUCUCCCCAGCCUGGUGCCUUCCCUUUAUCCGAAAGAAGAUCUGUUAGGAUGAUUGGAACUUUGGUUCUUCCUGUUCACCCUCUGCCCUCUCUCCAGCCCCCUGCCUUAGACAGCAGAAGGAAAGAAAACUCAGCCCUCAGAGGUGGGAUCCUUCGGAAGGACCAACAGCGUGCUAGCUCUCCUGUGGUUGGGAGCCGGAAGUGGGGCAGUGCCUUUGGUUUGGCUCCUUGUCCAGAGCUGAGCUUUAUCACAGAGGUCUUCCCGCUUACCAUCAACAUUGAAACUUACCUCUUCGCUUGGGUGUAUUCUCCCUCUUUUGUGCACAGUUUGGUUCCUCCGAACUGCUCUCCCUGUGAAGGCCUGUGGAAUGCAGGGAGCCUGGCCAGCCACCCAGGCCCGUUACAAAGGCCCCACGUCCCACCGGAUGGAGGAGGGGGACCCAAUAAAGACUUUGCAAAAUGCU